This is a non-coding RNA of Acanthosepion pharaonis, 110 nucleotides long. Lineage: Eukaryota; Metazoa; Mollusca; Cephalopoda; Sepiida; Sepiidae. The record is from the annotation of a GenBank genome assembly.
GGCCACAUCAAGUUGAAGCAUCGGUUCUCAUAAGAUCACCGGAGUUAAGUAAAGUCGAGCUUGGUCAGUACCUAGAUGGGUGACCGCAUAGGAAUAACAGGUGCUGUAAG